Molecule: ribosomal RNA, 428 nt
Filed under: uncultured prokaryote
Description: bacterial SSU rRNA
Rfam family: Bacterial small subunit ribosomal RNA
Source: RNAcentral
UAGGGAAUCUUCCGCAAUGGACGAAAGUCUGACGGAGCAACGCCGCGUGAGUGAUGAAGGUUUUCGGAUCGUAAAGCUCUGUUGUUAGGGAAGAACAAGUACCGUUCGAACAGGGCGGUACCUUGACGGUACCUAACCAGAAAGCCACGGCUAACUACGUGCCAGCAGCCGCGGUAAUACGUAGGUGGCAAGUGUUGUCCGGAAUUAUUGGGCGUAAAGGGCUCGCGGGCGGUUUCUUAAGUCUGAUGUGAAAGCCCCCGGCUCAACCGGGGAGGGUCAUUGGAAACUGGGGAACUUGAGUGCAGAAGAGGAGAGUGGAAUUCCACGUGUAGCGGUGAAAUGCGUAGAGAUUAGGAAGAACACCAGUGGCGAAGGCGAUUCUCUGGACUGUAACUGACGCUGAGGCUCGAAAGCGUGGGGAGCAAACA